RNAcentral lists this long non-coding RNA (4804 nucleotides) under Sus scrofa (pig). RNAcentral describes it as "lncRNA (ENSSSCG00000054250.1, ENSSSCG00160002492.1, ENSSSCG00175003112.1)". The record is from RNAcentral. Lineage: Eukaryota; Metazoa; Chordata; Mammalia; Artiodactyla; Suidae.
CAGGGUCCAGCCCAGGAGUAUGUGUGGUCAUAAACUGUCCUGUAUCUUUUGUGUCUUUUUUUUUUGUAGGUGUUUUUUUAAAAACAUUUUUAAUAAGGUAUAGUUGAUUUACAAUGUCCCUUCAAUUUCUGCUGUAUGGCAAAGUGACCCAGUCACACACAUGUAUACAUUCUUUUUCUCAUGUUAUCUUCUGUCGCAUUCUGUCACAAGUGAUUGACUAUAGUUCCCUGUGCUGUACAGUAGGACCUCAUUGCUUAUCCAUUCCAAAUGCCAUAGUUUGCAUCUCCUAACCCCAAACUCACAGUUCAUCCCACCCCUUCCCCCUUCCCCUGGCAAACACAGAUCUGUUCUCCAUGUCCGUGAUCUCUUUCUAUUUUGUAGAUAGGAUCAUCCGUGCCAUAUUUUAGAUUCCACAUUAUAAGAGAUAUCAUAUGAUAUUUGUCUUUCUCUUUCUGACUUACCUCACUUAAUAUGGGAAUCUCUGGUUGCACCCAUGUUGCUGCAAAUGACAUGAUUUUGUUCUUUUUUAUGGCUGAGUAGUAUUCCACUCUGUGUGUGUGUGUGUGUGUGUGUGUGUGUGUGUGUGUGUGUAUCUAUAUAUAUAUCACAGCUUUAUCAAAACUACAGUGAGGAACUACCUCACACCAGUCAGAAUGGCCAUCAUUAACAAAUCAACAAAUAACAAAUGCUGGAGAGGGCGUGGAGAAAAGGGGACCCCCUUCCACUGUUGGUGGGAAUGUCAACUGGUACAACCACUAUGGAAAACAGUAUGGAGGUUCCUCAGAAAACUAAAUCUAGAACUGCCAUAUGAUCCAGCAAUCCCACUCCUGGGCAUAUAUCUGGACAAAACUUUUAUUCAUAAAGAUCCAUGCACCCCUCUGUUCACUGCAGCACUGUUCACAGCAGCCGAGACAUGGAAACAGCCCAUUACCAUGGAAACGUACCUCACUUUGGGCUCGUCUGAUGUUUCCUCCUGAUUUGAUUCAGGGUGCGUGCUUUGGGCAGGAACCUGUGAAAGGCACGCUGUGUUCUCUUUGGGGUGUUGUGCCGGGAAGCAUGGCUACUGAUUCACCUCGUUACUGGCUUGCUCAGUUGGGUAACAGAGGUCUUCACAGCAAGGUUCCCAUUUUUCCCUUUUUAAGUAUUACUACCUCCUGGGGAGACGUUUUGAGACUAUGUAAAGAUUCUGUUUCCUCUUUCAUUUUUACUGCACUGGUUUUAACAUCUAUGGAUGAUUCUUGCCUGUAUCUGUUAUUACUAUGAUGGUUGCCAAAUGGUAGCACUUAACUUUUUAAGCUCCUUUAUUCAGUACGUUGCUAUUAGUCUGUAAAGAUAGAGUAUCGCUAGUCCUCAUCUCGAGUCUGGGAUCACACGCAUGCCUUGGGGUUCUUAUCUCCUUAGGGCCUCACAUCUCCCGCAGUAGAUGCAUUGCAUCCACGUUUAAUAGAUGAGGGAACUGUGUAGCCGAAAACCAGUUGGCAGCAUUUGCAGGAAGAAAAUAUUAAAAAUUGAUCUUUAAAAUAUCAUCAGGGAUACUCACAGUAAGAUAAUAGAGUGAAGCAUACAAAUUACCAAAAAAAGAGUUAGAAAGGAGAGAAACUAGAAUCAUAUAUAACAUUGUGCUGUAUGUUUAAAAUUUGUGUGUGGAGGCCACAGAAAGAGAUCAGCCCUCCUGACCUGCACAUUGAGCAAGGUGUGCAGAGGAUGGGACCUGAGAUGUCUUAUUACCAUCACAGACACCAAAGGAGAGACAUGGACAAUGCCUGAGAACUGAACUUCAGCGUUGUUCUUUUCUCAGUUCAACAGAAAGAUGGAAAGGGAAGGCAGAAUAAUGAGAGGUAUCCAAAGCUCACCUUGACCUCAGCACACGGUGGAGAUUUAGCAGGGUGGGGACAAAAGAGGAAAGGAGACUUGGCUCUCCAGGUGGCAGGAGCCGGGAUGGAGGACAGGAGUCCCUGUGGGAGGCGCUCUCUCUCACUGUGGAUAUAACUUGGCAUCUCAUGCUGCAUCUUCCCAUCUUGUUUUCCCACUGAGAACAGUCCUGGGAGGCUGCCUGGAGGGGGCUGAGGUGGUGCCUGGAGUGGAUCCUGUAUCUUGUGGCUCCACUGAGCUGGGGACCCAUCCAGUGCCUCUUAAGAUGUAGAUUAAUCCUUAAUAUAAGUUCAGGAUUUUUAGAUACUGAAUCCCAGCCCACCAGCCACACACACCCCAAACUAAGGGGACAGCUCUUCUCACCCUCCUCGAUGCUGCUGCUAGCAAACCUCAGCUCUCAGGAGAUAACCAGCUAGCAAACCACAGCUCUCAGGAGCAGGUGGACAGGUAUCAGAGCCGGCAAACCAUCUUAGAAAGACAAAAGGUCUUGACAAAACUAUAAUUCAGAAAGAUGCAUGCACCCCUACAUUCAUGACAGCACAGUUCACAAUAGCCAAGACAUGGAAGCAACAUAAGUGCCCAUCGAAAUAAUGUCAUUUGCAGCAACGUGGAUGCAACCAGAGGUUAUCAUAUUAAGUCAGAAAGAGAAUCAUAUGAUAUCACUUGUAUGUGGAAUCUAAUAUGUGGCACAAAUGCAUCUCUCUACAGGACAGAACAGACUUACGUAGAGUACAGACUUGUGGUUGCCAAGGGGGAGGGGCAGCGUGGGAUGCACUGGAGUUUGGAGUCAGUAGAUGCAAACUAUUAUUAAUAUUUCCUAAGAGAUACACUCAUGAAACAAGACAUUUGGAGAACAAAAGAACUCUUGGAAAUAAAAAAAAAAUCAUGAUAGCAACAUUAAAACACUCACAUAAGGGGGAUUGAGAGAGAAGUUGGCGUGAAUGAGACUGUGGCCUUAAUCUGUGAUGGUUAAACUAUCGCAUUUUGUGAAAUGUCACAAAAUCGCAUUAGCGUGUCUAUCAGCAGGACUUGCCCAGGGUGGGAAAGGAGACUUGCUAAGGGAGGAGGCUUGAAGUACAAACUCCAUCAUCUGUAAACCCACCUCUGAUGGUAAUUCACCAUCAUGGCCAACAUGCUUGUGCACCGUGCCUGCUAUGCCCUUCACCUCUAUGAUCCUGUUUGACCUGCUUGCCUAGACGCGGGAGGCCCCAUCACCCACUUUUUUCCUGCUAGGAAAGGGGAGCAAGUGGGGUGGUUGAUGUUUAAUACAGAGCCUGUGCUCUUAGCGGCUAUGCUGGUUUGCUUCUCCAGGAAAACACAAGGUUGGUAAAUAGAGAAACCAUCCUAGUUGCUGCCUUUCUCAACCGAAUGGCCAGCCUCAUCAGUGGUCCUAGUCCGACCGUUCGUAUGGGGAAAAUGAUGGUGAAGUUAUCUUGGAGGAGGGGUGAGAGGAAGAAGGGGGCUGCAUCUUAAAUCCCAAGUAGUCAAUAGAUGAAACCAAAAUCGAGUCAAGCAGAUUAUUUAAAAAUAUGGAGAGUUCUCUGGUGGAUCAGUGGGUUAAGAAUCCAACAUUGUCACUGGAUUGUCAUAGUGCAGGUUCAACCCCUGGCUCAGGAACUUCUGCAUGCCAAGGGUGCGGCUAAAAAAAAAAGUAUGGGGUUGGAAGCAAGAAUUAACUAGAAGAAGGCAAAGUGGUAGCAUCUGAGGAAGGGCAAGAGAAGAUACGAGGAUUUAAAAAAAAAUGAAACUUCCAGACAUUUUAGACUGUGUAUAUGUGCAAUUUUGAUGCAAAUAAGAUAAUUUAGAUUUUUUGAACAAAAUGAGACUUAGGCUGUUAUUAGAUGAAAUGAGAUAUUAAUCAAGUUGAUUAACAAAUAUGCAUAAUUAAUUUGAUGGAAAUAGAGAGUGGUAAGAAAACAAACAAGAUCUAAAAAUGCUGUGGCAGACUCAGAAAUGCAUGAGCAUAACCAUGAAGCAGAAUGGCAGUUUCUUUGAAAAUUGAACGGGUGACUGAGCAGAUAUCUGGAACGAUUCCUCCAUUGAAUGCAGAGGAAAUGGGAAAUGGAAGUGAUUAGCCAAAUAAGAUGAAAACGGAGGGCAGGCGAUGCUGAUGCAAAAUAGGAACAAUGCUACGAAAUGUAAUAGAGGAAAACUUUCCACAGCCGAGGGAGGACUCAGGACAGAGAGAUGGAAUCGUGCUGGUCUCAGGCUUCCCAGCACGGUUCGAGGAAAAGGCAGUGAAGGAAAUUUUAAAGGGAAGUGCAGGUCAGGAAUUUAACACCCAGCCAAGAGGCUGUUCAUGUGAUUCUCCUAUGAAUAAACUGUCUUAAAAGUCCAUGAACUAAGGAUGUUCGUUGUUGGAGAAAGCCUUUGAGGACAGAGGUCAGCCACUGAGACUGGGGCGAAGGGACCUGGGAUGGACUGCCCACCCCUCUAAAGGCAGAGCCGAGGCGAGCCUGCUGUAAAGACCGCAGUAAAACAGAGGUGUUUUCAGCUCAGAUCCAUGCACGGCUAUUAUUCAUAAGGAUGGAGAGCUUGGAGGAGGGGAGGAGAGAAGAAGGGAGAUAAGGGAGGGAUGUCUGCAUUGUUCAUUCAAGGAGAUUGUCGGUCCUGAUCAAAACUGAUACCUCGAUGCGAUGGAGCCAAUAGCCACAGAUGAUCACACUUGUGUGCCAUUUAAAGAUCCUUGGUCACCCCCGAAGAAUCAAAUCGGAGGCUCUUUUCAGCAGUCACUGAGUGUGGUUUCUGCCAGGAGGGCAGCCUGUUCCCUCCACCCCAGCGCCUCUGUCCUUGGGGAUUUACAGUUUGUAAUUUAUGGGGCAUAAUUGUUUCCUGUUUGGGUUGUGGAUGUGUAGGUGCCUUAAAACCAUGUUAAGAGUUAGAUUUUGUUCACCGUUUUCUUUCUGUUUGUGCCCAUUUUGUGUUAUGUGCA